This 565-nucleotide ribosomal RNA is filed under the name Morchella sp. RNAcentral describes it as "partial large subunit ribosomal RNA". It matches the Rfam family "Eukaryotic large subunit ribosomal RNA", at positions 85 to 660 of the family's 3401-position model. Lineage: Eukaryota; Fungi; Ascomycota; Pezizomycetes; Pezizales; Morchellaceae. The record is from RNAcentral.
UACGGCGAGUGAAGCGGCAAAAGCUCAAAUUUUAAAGCUGACAUCUUCGGUGUCCGCGUUGUAAUUUUGUGAGGCAUCUCCGGGUAGGGCGCCGGCCUAAGUUCCUUGGAACAGGACGUCACAGAGGGUGAGAAUCCCGUGCUUGGCUGGCUGUCCCCGUCCAUGUGAGGUGUCUUCGACGAGUCGAGUUGUUUGGGAAUGCAGCUCAAAAUGGGUGGUAAAUUUCAUCUAAAGCUAAAUAUUGGUGGGAGACCGAUAGCGCACAAGUAGAGUGAUCGAAAGAUGAAAAGCACUUUGAAAAUAGAGUUAAAAAGUACGUGAAAUUGUUGAAAGGGAAGCGCUUGAGACCAGACUUCGGUAAGGGGUGAUCAGCCGUCCUUUUGGGCGGUGCACUUGCCCCCCUCCGGGCCAGCAUCGGUUGAGGCGGCGGGAUAAAGGUCCCGGGAAUGUGGCUCCUUCACGGGAGUGUUAUAGCCCGGGUGAAUGCCGCCAGCUUCGACCGAGGACCGCACCCGCAAGGGUUAGGAUGCUUGGCAUAAUGGUCUUCAGCGACCCGUCUUGAACC